This 221-nucleotide unclassified non-coding RNA is filed under the name rhizosphere metagenome. Its description in RNAcentral is "partial ribosomal RNA internal transcribed spacer region". The record is from RNAcentral.
GUAGGUGAACCUGCGGAAGGAUCAUUAUUGAAAUAAACUGAUGGGUUGCUGCUGGCUCUCUAGGGAGCAUGUGCACACCUUGUCAUCUUUAUAUCUCCACCUGUGCACCUUUUGUAGACCUUUCAGGUCUAUGUUGCUUUUUCAUUUACCCCAAUGUAUGUUAAUAGAAUGUUGUGCCUAUAAAAUCUAUACAACUUUCAGCAACGGAUCUCUUGGCUCUC